Molecule: long non-coding RNA, 321 nt
Filed under: Serinus canaria (Common canary)
Lineage: Eukaryota; Metazoa; Chordata; Aves; Passeriformes; Fringillidae
Description: lncRNA (ENSSCAG00000011340.1)
Source: RNAcentral
CGGCUCCCCGGGGCUGCGCGGCGGCAGCGGCGCGGAGCGGAGCGAGCGGGGGAGCCGCGCUGCGAGGAGGAGCCGCCGCCUCAUCCUGCGGCACCGGCCCGGCCAGCGCAGGUGGCAGUGUAGAAGCCAAGAACAAAAACUGGCAGAAAUUGUGUUCUGUGUACGAGAAUAUGAAGAGUGUACUCAUGACUAAGCACAGGAACCUGGAAAACCACAGGCUUUAGUCAGGUGAUCCCUGAUGAGUAGCCAGCCCACCAAGAAGGGACUUGAGCACACAGGUCGUUUUGGAUUAAAGCUGUGGAUCAAUCAACCCAGAGCUCG